Non-coding RNA from Danio rerio (zebrafish), 74 nucleotides. Lineage: Eukaryota; Metazoa; Chordata; Actinopteri; Cypriniformes; Danionidae. The record is from Rfam.
GGUGCUGUGGCUUAGUUGGUCAAAGCGCCUGUCUCGUAAACAGGAGAUCCUGGGUUCAAGUCCCAGCAGUGCCU